RNAcentral lists this ribosomal RNA (502 nucleotides) under uncultured bacterium. Its description in RNAcentral is "partial 16S ribosomal RNA". It matches the Rfam family "Bacterial small subunit ribosomal RNA", at positions 28 to 523 of the family's 1533-position model. The record is from RNAcentral.
GAUGAACGCUAGCUACAGGCUUAACACAUGCAAGUCGAGGGGCAGCACAGUGUAGCAAUACACGGGUGGCGACCGGCGCACGGGUGCGUAACACGUAUCCAAUCUGCCCGUUACUCGGGGAUAGCCUUCUGAAAGGAAGAUUAAUACCCGAUGGCAUGUAUUUCCGGCAUCGGAGAUGCAUUAAAGAUUUAUCGGUAACGGAUGAGGAUGCGUACGAUUAGCUAGUUGGCGGGGUAACGGCCCACCAAGGCGACGAUCGUUAGGGGUUCUGAGAGGAAGGUCCCCCACACUGGAACUGAGACACGGUCCAGACUCCUACGGGAGGCAGCAGUGAGGAGUAUUGGUCAAUGGUCGAGAGACUGAACCAGCCAAGUAGCGUGAAGGAUGACUGCCCUACGGGUUGUAAACUUCUUUUGUUUGGGAAUAAAGUGAGGCACGUGUGCCUUUUUGUAUGUACCUUACGAAUAAGCAUCGGCUAAUUCCGUGCCAGCAGCCGCAGUAA